This 653-nucleotide long non-coding RNA is filed under the name Homo sapiens (human). RNAcentral describes it as "non-protein coding lnc-EIF1AD-2:1". The record is from RNAcentral. Lineage: Eukaryota; Metazoa; Chordata; Mammalia; Primates; Hominidae.
UUGGCAAUGAUUUAGUAGGGUGGGAUGGGAGUGGGGCUGGGCCCAGAGAUGCUGACCCCCUUUGUACCAUUGAGUGAAGCCAGUAAACCUGCCCCACCCCAGGCAUACCCCCUUCUAUGAGGUACACCCAGCCCCCUACUCACCCUGACCAGCCUGGGGAGUGAGAGUGCCCACUGCUCAUCAAGGUGGAAGGCAGAACUCAUCAGCUUGUAGUCAAUGCAGUACCUGCAACAAAGCUGCUCCAAUCCAGAAUGCACCCGAGGGAGAAAGAUGUCUGAAGUCCUCAUAGCUGUCUCAUCUGCAAAGUGACUUCCCAGCGGGUUACCUGCCCUCGGCCCUACUGCAAAGGAAUCAUCACUGUGGGGUCCAGAACCUCAGGUGGGUGUCAGGGCCAUCCGUGGGCACUGCAGGAAUACUCUUCCAUGGACAGAGUUCACAUGUCACCCUCACUGUUGGAAAGUGUCAUCUAUGGGUGCAGAUAUCCGUGGAAGUGACAUAUCUGCUACCUGCUUUGGCUCAGGGAAGCAUGCGGGGCGACAUGGAGGCCUCCAUGCAGCCUGGUGUCUGUCAUCUUGCUGGCUGUGCUGUGUUUGGGCCAGGCCCUCUUUCGGGCCUGCCUGAAGGUCAGCCACCCUGUCCAGAGCUUCUCCUGA